CCCCGGGCUUAACCUGGAGUGGCAUUUGAGACUGGCAGGCUAGAGUCUUGUAGAGGGGGGUAGAAUUCCAGGUGUAGCGGUGAAAUGCGUAGAGAUCUGGAGGAAUAUCGGUGGCGAAGGCGGCCCCCUGGACAAAGACUGACGCUCAGAUGCGAAAGCGUGGGUAGCAAACAGGAUUAGAUACCCUGGUAGUCCACGCCGUAAACGAUGUCUACUUGAAGGUUGGGAUCUUGAAUUCUGGCCUUCGGAGCUAACGCGUUAAGUAGACCGCCUGGGAGUACGGUCGCAAGAUUAAAACUCAAAUGAAUUGACGGGGGCCCGCACAAGCGGUGGAGCAUGUGGUUUAAUUCGAUGCAACGCGAAGAACCUUACCUACUCUUGACAUCCAGAGAAGCCAGCAGAGAUGCAGGUGUGCCUUCGGGAACUNUGAGACAGGUGCUGCAUGGCUGUCGUCAGCUCGUGUUGUGAAAUGUUGGGUUAAGUCCCGCAACGAGCGCAACCCUUAUCCUUGUUUGCCAGCACGUAAUGGUGGGAACUCCAGGGAGACUGCCGGUGAUAAACCGGAGGAAGGUGGGGACGACGUCAAGUCAUCAUGGCCCUCACGAGUAGGGCUACACACGUGCUACAAUGGUGCAUACAGAGGGAAGCAAGAGCGCGAGCUGGAGCGGAUCNCAAAAAGUGCAUCGUAGUCCGGAUUGGAGUCUGCAACUCGACUCCAUGAAGUCGGAAUCGCUAGUAAUCGUGGAUCAGAAUGCCACGGUGAAUACGUUCCCGGGCCUUGUACACACCGCCCGUCAUC
RNAcentral lists this ribosomal RNA (799 nucleotides) under uncultured Grimontia sp. RNAcentral describes it as "bacterial SSU rRNA". It matches the Rfam family "Bacterial small subunit ribosomal RNA", at positions 601 to 1401 of the family's 1533-position model. The record is from RNAcentral. Lineage: Bacteria; Pseudomonadati; Pseudomonadota; Gammaproteobacteria; Vibrionales; Vibrionaceae.